Molecule: ribosomal RNA, 497 nt
Filed under: uncultured bacterium
Lineage: Bacteria
Description: partial 16S ribosomal RNA
Rfam family: Bacterial small subunit ribosomal RNA
Source: RNAcentral
GAUGAACGCUGGCGGCGUGCCUAAUACAUGCAAGUCGAGCGAACAGACGAGGAGCUUGCUCCUCUGACGUUAGCGGCGGACGGGUGAGUAACACGUGGAUAACCUACCUAUAAGACUGGGAUAACUUCGGGAAACCGGAGCUAAUACCGGAUAAUAUAUUGAACCGCAUGGUUCAAUAGUGAAAGACGGUUUUGCUGUCACUUAUAGAUUGAUCCGCGCCGCAUUAGCUAGUUGGUAAGGUAACGGCUUACCAAGGCAACGAUGCGUAGCCGACCUGAGAGGGUGAUCGGCCACACUGGAACUGAGACACGGUCCAGACUCCUACGGGAGGCAGCAGUAGGGAAUCUUCCGCAAUGGGCGAAAGCUUGACGGAGCAACGCCGCGUGAGUGAUGAAGGUCUUCGGAUCGUAAAACUCUGUUAUUAGGGAAGAACAAAUGUGUAAGUAACUAUGCACGUCUUGACGGUACCUAAUCAGAAAGCCACGGCUAACUACGUG